AGAAGUCCACUGAACCUUAUCAUUUAGAGGAAGGAGAAGUCGUAACAAGGUUUCCGUAGGUGAACCUGCGGAAGGAUCAUUGUCGAAAACUGCCGAGCAGAGCGACCAGCGGACAAGCAGCAAUAAAUCGUUGGGGGCGCGGUGCCCCCGAUCGCCGGCCGAGCCCGCACCUCACGGUUCGCCCCAUGAGCGACGGUCGGGGUGCAGGGUCAGGCUUUCGGCACAACAACGAACCCCGGCGCGGACUGCGCCAAGGAACGGUAACAUGGUGCGCGUCGCCUUUCUUCGGGAUCCCCGGGGAGUGAGGCGGCGGGCUUCGUAUCUGAAAGACUCUCGGCAACGGAUAUCUCGGCUCUCGCAUCGAUGAAGAACGUAGCGAAAUGCGAUACUUGGUGUGAAUUGCAGAAUCCCGUGAACCAUCGAGUCUUUGAACGCAAGUUGCGCCCGAAGCCUCUAGGCUGAGGGCACGUCUGCCUGGGCGUCACGCAUUGCGUCGUCCCCGACCCACUGUGUCUCCUCACAUCAGGUCGGGGCGGAAGUGGCCUCCCGUGCAUCGUCGUGCGGUUGGCCUAAUACCGGAGCUCGGGCGACGGUGCCGCGGCGUUCGGUGGUCGACAAGGCGAAGGCCAAGGUUGCAUCGCGUCGCGCCGGGCACGUCCCCCGUGAAGCUCGCAUGACCCUGACGCGCCGUUCGUACGGCUCCAACGCAGCGACCCCAGGUCAGGCGGGGCUACCCGCUGAGUUUAAGCAUAUCAAUAAGCGGAGGAAAAGAAACUUACGAGGAUUCCCCUAGUAACGGCGAGCGAACCGGGAAGUGCCCAGCUUUAGAAUCGGGCGGCCGAGCCGUCCGAAUUGUAGUCUGGAGAAGCGAA
RNAcentral lists this ribosomal RNA (872 nucleotides) under Nepenthes pervillei. RNAcentral describes it as "eukaryotic LSU rRNA". The stretch from base 329 to 484 matches the Rfam family "5.8S ribosomal RNA". The record is from RNAcentral. Lineage: Eukaryota; Viridiplantae; Streptophyta; Magnoliopsida; Caryophyllales; Nepenthaceae.